AUUUAAAUAGUUUAAUUAAAACAUUAUAUUGAAGAUAUAAAAAUAAAAAUUUUUUUUUAAAUA
This 63-nucleotide transfer RNA is filed under the name Pachycrepoideus vindemmiae. RNAcentral describes it as "tRNA-Phe". Lineage: Eukaryota; Metazoa; Arthropoda; Insecta; Hymenoptera; Pteromalidae. The record is from RNAcentral.